This 756-nucleotide ribosomal RNA is filed under the name uncultured delta proteobacterium. Its description in RNAcentral is "bacterial SSU rRNA". It matches the Rfam family "Bacterial small subunit ribosomal RNA", at positions 8 to 738 of the family's 1533-position model. Lineage: Bacteria; Deltaproteobacteria. The record is from RNAcentral.
ANAGUUUGAUAAUGGCUCAGAACGAACGCUAGUGGCGUGCUUAACACAUGCAAGUCGAACGAGAAAGCUUCCUUCGGGAAGUGAGUAGAGUGGCGCACGGGUGAGUAACGCGUAGGUAAUUUACCCCGGCAUUUGGAAUAACCAGCCGAAAGGCUGGCUAAUACCAAAUACGCUUCAAUAUACGCGAGUAUGUUGAAGGAAAGAUGACCUCUCCUUGGAAGUUAUCGUGCUGGGAUGAGCCUGCGUACCAUUAGCUAGUUGGUGGGGUAAUGGCCUACCAAGGCUACGAUGGUUAGCGGGUCUGAGAGGAUGAUCCGCCACACUGGAACUGGAACACGGACCAGACUCCUACGGGAGGCAGCAGUGAGGAAUUUUGCACAAUGGGGGCAACCCUGAUGCAGCGACGCCACGUGAGUGAUGAAGGUUUUCGGAUCGUAAAGCUCUGUCAGCAGGGAAGAAAUGUGUAAUGGUUAAUACCCAUUACAUUUGACGGUACCUGCAAAGGAAGCACCGGCUAACUCCGUGCCAGCAGCCGCGGUAAUACGGAGGGUGCGAGCGUUGUUCGGAAUUACUGGGCGUAAAGCGUACGUAGGCGGAUUAGUCAGUUAGAGGUGAAAUCCCAGGGCUCAACCCUGGAACUGCCUUUAAUACUGCUAGUCUUGAGUUCGAGAGAGGUGAGUGGAAUUCCGAGUGUAGAGGUGAAAUUCGUAGAUAUUCGGAGGAACACCAGUGGCGAAGGCGGCUCACUGGCUCGAU